GGGGGGGGCGGGGGGGGGGCCGGACGCAGGCGGGUCGAGCGGCAGCACCGUGAGCGCUUGCGCUUACGGGUGGCGAGUGGCGGCCGGGUGCGGAAUACAUCGUAAUCUACUUUUUCGUGGGGGGUAACGUAGGGAAACUUACACUAAUACCGCAUACGCCCUACGGUUGAAAGCAGGGGAUCUUCGUACCUUGCGCGAUUGAAUGAGCCGAUGUCGUAUUAGCUAGUUGGCGGGUUAAAGGCCCACCAAGGCGACGAACCGUAGCUGGUCUGAGAGGAUGAUCAGCCACAAUGGAAGUGAGAAACGGUCCAGACUCCUCAGGGAGGCAGCAGUGGGGAAUAUUGGACAAUGGGCGCAAGCCUGAUCCAGCCAUACCGCGUGGGUGAAGAAGGCCUUCGGGUUGUAAAGCCCUUUUGUUGGGAAAGAAAAGCAGCAGGUUAAUACCCCGCUGUUCUGACGGUACCAAAAGAAUAAGCACCGGCUAACUUCGUG
RNAcentral lists this ribosomal RNA (492 nucleotides) under uncultured bacterium. RNAcentral's name for it is "partial 16S ribosomal RNA". It matches the Rfam family "Bacterial small subunit ribosomal RNA", at positions 35 to 507 of the family's 1533-position model. The record is from RNAcentral.